Molecule: ribosomal RNA, 512 nt
Filed under: uncultured bacterium
Lineage: Bacteria
Description: partial 16S ribosomal RNA
Rfam family: Bacterial small subunit ribosomal RNA
Source: RNAcentral
GAUGAACGCUGGCGGCGUGCCUAAUACAUGCAAGUCGAGCGAAUGAUGAGGAGCUUGCUCCUCUGAUUUAGCGGCGGACGGGUGAGUAACACGUGGGUAAUCUGCCUGUAAGACGGGGAUAACUCCGGGAAACCGGGGCUAAUACCGGAUAACAAGAGAAGAAGCAUUUCUUCUUUUUGAAAGUCGGUUUUGGCUGACACUUACAGAUGAGCCCGCGGCGCAUUAGCUAGUUGGUGAGGUAACGGCUCACCAAGGCGACGAUGCGUAGCCGACCUGAGAGGGGGCACGGCCACACUGGGACUGAGACACGGCCCAGACUCCUACGGGAGGCAGCAGUAGGGAAUCUUCGGCAAUGGGCGAAAGCCUGACCGAGCAACGCCGCGUGAGCGAUGAAGGCCUUCGGGUCGUAAAGCUCUGUUGUUAGAGAAGAACAAGUACGAGAGUAACUGCUCGUACCUUGACGGUACCUAACCAGAAAGCCACGGCUAACUACGUGCCAGCCGCCGCCGUAA